ACGGAGGGAUGUCAGUGAAUGGCUUUUCCAUGGGUUGAAAAUCAGCUGCUCUGACGCGUGAAUUCAUCUGCUUGUUGGAUUGAAUAAGGCAGUCUUAUUGCCCUUUGAUCAUGUUGUGAACUGCCCUGUCAAAUAAGAGGAUUGUCUCAGCCUCUCAGGUCUCAAUGACUUGGAGCUAAUUUAAUAAUAUUUUUUUUUGGGUGUUUUCCAUGCUCAAUAAACUAUUUUUUCAAUUAAUAUUUGCUUGUUUUCAAAGAAUAUGAGAAGGUUAUAUGCGGUGGUGGAGACAAUACUCAACUCCUUCUGUAAACUGAGAAAAUUGGUUUCUUCUUGAUAGAUUCUUGUUGUCCCGUCUUCUGGUUAAUAAUGAUUGUAGUGGACUUAAAUACUAUGCAUCGAUGGUGGGAGGUGCCUGAAGUCCUGGUGCUGCUGAUUCCUGUUUGUUCUGGGCAAUUCAAUCGCAAUAUAAGAAGCCAUGCACCUUGGGAAAACAUAAC
RNAcentral lists this long non-coding RNA (497 nucleotides) under Populus tremula. RNAcentral's name for it is "long non-coding RNA (PTRE_LNC000863)". Lineage: Eukaryota; Viridiplantae; Streptophyta; Magnoliopsida; Malpighiales; Salicaceae. The record is from RNAcentral.